GUCUCCUGCUCAGCCCAGAGUUCUUUCCACAGCCCCAUGCUGCCUCUCUGUACCCAGCUCCUUUAUGCCCCCAUUCCCCAGGGACAUGCCUCAGUCGUGGAAGAGAAAGCUGCUGUCUCAGCCCUGGCUGUCUUCUAAUUCCUGCCCCCCAAGGAUAGUGGGGAGAGCCAGCAUAUUCAGGAGCUGAAAGUGGGUCAGCAUCAGCUCUGCGUAGUGCUCUCUCUUCAACGCUUGGGAGAGAGAGAAGGAAAAGGGGAGGGGACUGCCCCUUCAGGACAAUGGGCUCUGUCUUCUAACUCAUCUCUUUUGCAGUCUCAGUCUCCCCAGCACCCCCAUCUCCAUCCGCUUUUCUCUUUCUCCCCUGUCUGUCUCCCUUCGUCCUUCUGCCCCUUCAGUCUCUGUCUUUAUCUUUCUGUACUGCCAACUUUGGGAUUUUGUUCUCUUUCUCCAUCACCCCCUCUGUCUUCUUCCAUCUCUCUCCAUCUUUCUUCAUCUUACUCAUCUUGUUUGCUUCUCCGUGCCUGGCUGUCCUGUACCUCCAGCUGUCAGUCUCCCCCUGUAUCCAUCCCUCUUCCCUUCCCGAGCCUUUCUUCAUCUUUAUGUCUUUCCCUGUCUCCGUCGCUCCUCAAUCUGUCCCUUUCCAUCUUAUCUCACUGCAUUUUUUUCUCUUGCUGUCUCAAACUAUGUCCCUCUCUGUCUGUCUCUGUCUCCAUGUCUUUGACUCUUUCCAUGUUUGCCUUUCCCUGUACCUCCCUCUCUAAGUGUCUCUUGCUUUCUUCAUUUUUUUCCUUUUCUCUCUGUCCCUGUCUCUGUCUCUGUCUGUCUGUAUCUCUCUCUCACAUACACACACAGACACAACCCUACCUCACACACACACUCACUCAUCUUCCCUCUCCUUGGUUUUGCCGGUUUUUGUCUCACUCUCUUCCUGUCUCCACCUUUCUGUCUUCAUCUCUCUCACCCUCAAUCAAUCAGCAAUCAUUUAUAAAACACUAAACUCUGUGUCUCAGUUUCUCUCUCCCUAAUUUCACUCUCUGGUUCUCCUUUUCUUUAACCCUUUGCUUCUCUGGCUC
Molecule: long non-coding RNA, 1073 nt
Filed under: Vombatus ursinus (common wombat)
Lineage: Eukaryota; Metazoa; Chordata; Mammalia; Diprotodontia; Vombatidae
Description: lncRNA (ENSVURG00010022710.1)
Source: RNAcentral